This 497-nucleotide ribosomal RNA is filed under the name uncultured bacterium. Its description in RNAcentral is "partial 16S ribosomal RNA". It matches the Rfam family "Bacterial small subunit ribosomal RNA", at positions 28 to 507 of the family's 1533-position model. The record is from RNAcentral.
GAUGAACGCUGGCGGCGUGCCUAAUACAUGCAAGUCGAGCGAACACACGAUGAGCUUUCUCCUCUGACGUUAGCGGCGGACGGGUGAGUAACACGUGCAUAACCUACCUAUAAGACUGGGAUAACUUCGGGAAACCGGAGCUACUACCGGAGCAUAUAUUCAACCGCAUGGUUCUAUAGUGAUACACACUUUUGCUGUCACUUAUAGAUGAUGCCGCGCCGCAUUAGCUAGUUGGUAAGGUAACGGCUUACCAAGGCGACGAUGCGUAGCCGACCUGAGAGGGUGAUCGGCCACACUGGAACUGAGACACGGUCCAGACUCCUACGGGAGGCAGCAGUAGGGAAUAUUCCGCAAUGGGCGAAAGCCUGACCGAGCCACGCCGCGUGAGUGAUGAAGGUCUUCGGAUCGUAAAACUCUGUUAUUAGGGAAGAAAAAAUGUGUAAGUAAAUAUGCACGUCUUGACGGUACCUAAACAGAAAGCCCCGGCUAACUACGUG